Molecule: ribosomal RNA, 253 nt
Filed under: uncultured bacterium
Lineage: Bacteria
Description: partial 16S ribosomal RNA
Rfam family: Bacterial small subunit ribosomal RNA
Source: RNAcentral
UACGUAGGGGGCAAGCGUUGUCCGGAAUCAUUGGGCGUAAAGAGCGCGUAGGCGGCCCAGUAAGUCCGCUCUGAAAGUCAGGGGCUCAACCCCUGAAUGCGGGUGGAUACUGCUGGGCUAGAGUCCGGAAGAGGCGAGUGGAAUUCCUGGUGUAGCGGUGGAAUGCGCAGAUAUCAGGAGGAACACCGAUGGCGAAGGCAGAUCUCUGGGCCGUAACUGACGCUGAGGAGCGAAAGCGUGGGGAGCGAACAGG